This 42-nucleotide ribosomal RNA is filed under the name uncultured Pezizaceae. RNAcentral describes it as "partial 25S ribosomal RNA". Lineage: Eukaryota; Fungi; Ascomycota; Pezizomycetes; Pezizales; Pezizaceae. The record is from RNAcentral.
UGACCUCAAAUCAGGUAGGGAUACCCGCUGAACUUAAGCAUA